GAUUUCUGGUUCGAUGCGUUUGGCCCUCUCGGAGCAAUCCGGCGUGCGUGCCGAUGCGCGUCUGCCAUCCCUUGUAGAGAACGUUUCUACCCUUCACUGGGCCGGAUGCGCGAUCCAGAUCAUUUACUUUGAAAAAAUUAGAGUGUUUAAAGCAGGCUUUUUGCUAUGAAUACAUUAGCAUGGAAUAAUAAUUUAGGACUUUGGCCCUAUUUUGUUGGUUUCUAGGACUGAAGUAAUGAUUGAUAGGGAUAGUUGGGGGUGCUCGAAUUCAGCGGCCAGAGGUGAAAUUCUUGGAUUCGCUGAAGACGAACUCAUGCGAAAGCAUU
This 326-nucleotide ribosomal RNA is filed under the name Thaumatomonas sp. RNAcentral's name for it is "SSU rRNA". The stretch from base 113 to 326 matches the Rfam family "Eukaryotic small subunit ribosomal RNA", at positions 741 to 955 of the family's 1831-position model. Lineage: Eukaryota; Cercozoa; Imbricatea; Thaumatomonadida; Thaumatomastigidae. The record is from RNAcentral.